This 467-nucleotide ribosomal RNA is filed under the name uncultured bacterium. RNAcentral's name for it is "partial 16S ribosomal RNA". It matches the Rfam family "Bacterial small subunit ribosomal RNA", at positions 28 to 506 of the family's 1533-position model. The record is from RNAcentral.
GACGAACGCUGGCGGCGUGCUUAACACAUGCAAGUCGAACGGAAAGACCCUGCUUUUGUGGGGUGCUCGAGUGGCGAACGGGUGAGUAACACGUGAGUAACCUGCCCUUGACUUUGGGAUAACUUCAGGAAACUGGGGCUAAUACCGGCUAGGAGCUCCUGCUGCAUGGUGGGGGUUGGAAAGUUUCGGCGGUUGGGGAUGGACUCGCGGCUUAUCAGCUUGUUGGUGGGGUAGUGGCUUACCAAGGCUUUGACGGGUAGCCGGCCUGAGAGGGUGACCGGCCACAGUGGGACUGAGAUACGGCCCAGACGCCUACGGGAGGCAGCAGUGGGGAAUAGUGCACAAUGGGCGGAAGCCGGAUGGAGCAACGCCGCGUGCGGGAUGACGGCCUUCGGGUUGUAAACCGCUUUCGCCUGUGACGAAGCGGGAGUGACGGUAAUGGGUAAAGAAGCACCGGCUAACUACGU